Molecule: ribosomal RNA, 800 nt
Filed under: uncultured bacterium
Lineage: Bacteria
Description: bacterial SSU rRNA
Rfam family: Bacterial small subunit ribosomal RNA
Source: RNAcentral
AGAGUUUGAUCCUGGCUCAGAAUGAACGCUGGCGGCGUGUUUAAGACAUGCAAGUCGAACGGAGUAACAUGAGUAGCAAUACAAGUGUUGCUCAGUGGCGCACGGGUGCGUAACACGUGAGUUACAUGCCCUGCAGAGAGGGAUAGCCCAGGGAAACUUGGAUUAAUACCUCAUGGUCUCGCAAGAGUAAAGAUGGCCGUAAGGCUGUCGCUGCAGGAUUGGCUCGCGGCCUAUCAGCUAGUUGGUGAGGUAACGGCUCACCAAGGCUACGACGGGUACCUGGUCUGAGAGGACGAUCAGGCACACUGGAACUGAGACACGGUCCAGACACCUACGGGUGGCAGCAGUCGAGAAUCAUUCACAAUGGGGGCAACCCUGAUGGUGCAACGCCGCGUGGAGGAAGAAGGUCUUCGGAUUGUAAACUCCUGUCAUCUAGGAGCAAGGCAUGGUGGUGAAUAGCCAACAUGAUUGAUAGUACUAGAAGAGGAAGGGACGGCUAACUUCGUGCCAGCAGCCGCGGUAAUACGAAGGUCCCGAGCGUUAUUCGGAAUCACUGGGCGUAAAGGGAGCGUAGGCGGCGUGGAAAGUCAGAUGUGAAAUCCCAGAGCUUAACUCUGGAACUGCAUCCGAUACUACCAUGCUAGAGUAUUGGAGGGGUAACUGGAAUUCUCGGUGUAGCAGUGGAAUGCGUAGAUAUCGAGAGGAACACUCGUGGCGAAAGCGAGUUACUGGACAAUUACUGACGCUGAGGCUCGAAAGCUAGGGGAGCAAAAGGGAUUAGAUACCCCUGUAGUCCUAGC